This is a non-coding RNA of Orcinus orca (killer whale), 73 nucleotides long. Lineage: Eukaryota; Metazoa; Chordata; Mammalia; Artiodactyla; Delphinidae. The record is from the annotation of a RefSeq genome assembly.
UUCCUGGUGGUCUAGUGGGUAAGACUCUGCGCUCCUAACGCAGGGGGCCCAGAUUCGAUCCCUGGUUGGGGAA